This is a long non-coding RNA of Asparagus officinalis (garden asparagus), 144 nucleotides long. RefSeq lists it as uncharacterized. NCBI's taxonomy places the organism in Eukaryota, Viridiplantae, Streptophyta, Magnoliopsida, Asparagales, Asparagaceae. The record is from RefSeq and is a predicted model, not a curated record. The transcript is spliced from 3 exons.
AAUACUCUUCUUUCAAGAAAAUGCUGGCAAUAUUGCUCAUCGUCUUGAAUUUAUUCGCAUGAUGCUGCAAAGGCUGGAAUGCAAUGUGUUUAUGCUUUCAUAUAGAGGGUAUGGAGAAAGUGAUGGUUACCCAUCACAACAUGG